Molecule: non-coding RNA, 161 nt
Organism: Alligator sinensis (Chinese alligator)
Lineage: Eukaryota; Metazoa; Chordata; Crocodylia; Alligatoridae
Source: Rfam
UAACUUACCGGGCAAGGAAGAUACCGUGAUCAAUAGGUUCUCCCAGGAUGAGGCCUAUCCAUUGCACUCUGGGCAGGCUGACCCCUGUGAGUUUACCAAAUGCGGGAAACUCAACUGGACACUUUUGUGGUAAUGGGGGACUGCAUUUGCACUUUCUCCCU